Molecule: ribosomal RNA, 425 nt
Filed under: uncultured bacterium
Lineage: Bacteria
Description: bacterial SSU rRNA
Rfam family: Bacterial small subunit ribosomal RNA
Source: RNAcentral
GUGGGGAAUCUUAGACAAUGGGGGAAACCCUGAUCUAGCCAUGCCGCGUGAGCGAUGAAGGCCUUAGGGUUGUAAAGCUCUUUCAGGGGGGAAGAUAAUGACGGUACCCCCAGAAGAAGCCCCGGCUAACUCCGUGCCAGCAGCCGCGGUAAUACGGAGGGGGCUAGCGUUGUUCGGAAUUACUGGGCGUAAAGCGCACGUAGGCGGACCAGAAAGUCAGGGGUGAAAUCCCGGGGCUCAACCCCGGAACUGCCUUUGAAACUCCUGGUCUUGAGGUCGAGAGAGGUGAGUGGAAUUCCGAGUGUAGAGGUGAAAUUCGUAGAUAUUCGGAGGAACACCAGUGGCGAAGGCGGCUCACUGGCUCGAUACUGACGCUGAGGUGCGAAAGCGUGGGGAGCAAACAGGAUUAGAUACCCGUGUAGUCC